GGGUCAGUAGGUUGGUCGUGCCACCGGUACGUACUGGUCUCACUGAUUCCUCCUUCCUGAAGAACCGUAAUGCCAUUAAUUUGGUGCUGCGGGGAAACAGGACUGUUACUUUGAAAAAAUUAGAGUGUUUAAAGCAAGCUAACGCUUGAAUACAUUAGCAUGGAAUAAAGAACUAGGACGAUCGAUCCUAUUUUGUUGGUUUCUAGGAUUGACGUA
RNAcentral lists this ribosomal RNA (216 nucleotides) under Glomeromycotina sp. Its description in RNAcentral is "partial small subunit ribosomal RNA". The stretch from base 44 to 216 matches the Rfam family "Eukaryotic small subunit ribosomal RNA", at positions 690 to 864 of the family's 1831-position model. The record is from RNAcentral. Lineage: Eukaryota; Fungi; Glomeromycota.